GACGAACGCUGGCGGCGUGCUUAACACAUGCAAGUCGAACGGAAAGGCCCUGCUUGCAGGGUACUCGAGUGGCGAACGGGUGAGUAACACGUGGGUGAUCUGCCCUGCACUUCGGGAUAAGCCUGGGAAACUGGGUCUAAUACCGGAUAGGAGCCAUUUUUAGUGUGAUGGUUGGAAAGUUUUUUCGGUGUAGGAUGAGCUCGCGGCCUAUCAGCUUGUUGGUGGGGUAAUGGCCUACCAAGGCGGCGACGGGUAGCCGGCCUGAGAGGGUGGACGGCCACAUUGGGACUGAGAUACGGCCCAGACUCCUGCGGGAGGCAGCAGUGGGGAAUAUUGCACAAUGGGCGCAAGCCUGAUGCAGCGACGCCGCGUGGGGGAUGACGGCCUUCGGGUUGUAAACUCCUUUCGCUAGGGACGAAGCAUUUUGUGACGGUACCUAGAUAAGAAGCACCGGCUAACUACGUG
This 465-nucleotide ribosomal RNA is filed under the name uncultured bacterium. RNAcentral describes it as "partial 16S ribosomal RNA". It matches the Rfam family "Bacterial small subunit ribosomal RNA", at positions 28 to 507 of the family's 1533-position model. The record is from RNAcentral.